RNAcentral lists this ribosomal RNA (468 nucleotides) under uncultured bacterium. RNAcentral describes it as "partial 16S ribosomal RNA". It matches the Rfam family "Bacterial small subunit ribosomal RNA", at positions 28 to 507 of the family's 1533-position model. The record is from RNAcentral.
GACGAACGCUGGCGGCGUGCUUAACACAUGCAAGUCGAACGGAAAGGCCCCGCUUUUGUGGGGUGCUCGAGUGGCGAACGGGUGAGUAACACGUGAGUAACCUGCCCUUGACUUUGGGAUAACUUCAGGAAACUGGGGCUAAUACCGGAUAGGAGCUCCUGCUGCAUGGUGGGGGUUGGAAAGUUUCGGCGGUUGGGGAUGGACUCGCGGCUUAUCAGCUUGUUGGUGGGGUAGUGGCUUACCAAGGCUUUGACGGGUAGCCGGCCUGAGAGGGUGACCGGCCACAUUGGGACUGAGAUACGGCCCAGACUCCUACGGGGGGCAGCAGUGGGGAAUAUUGCACAAUGGGCGGAAGCCUGAUGCAGCAACGCCGCGUGCGGGAUGACGGCCUUCGGGUUGUAAACCGCUUUCGCCUGUGACGAAGCGUGAGUGACGGUAAUGGGUAAAGAAGCACCGGCUAACUACGUG